This is a long non-coding RNA of Siniperca chuatsi (mandarin fish), 1243 nucleotides long. RefSeq lists it as uncharacterized. The transcript is spliced from 2 exons. Lineage: Eukaryota; Metazoa; Chordata; Actinopteri; Centrarchiformes; Sinipercidae. The record is from RefSeq and is a predicted model, not a curated record.
UCACCUGCUUUAAAGCGUCAGCAUCAACAGACCAGCUCCGGAUGCGUCUUCGUACUGAAGCCUGCUGAGUCUCCACGAGGACAGGAAGUCAACAAUUACACAACAAUAAAUGAAAACGUUGUGAAUUACAGAAACCUGAAUCUCCAUUCCACCUCCUUCGCUUCCAUCGAGGCCCUGCAGUCUGGACUGCACUCUCCCCGCAGACGGCUCCGUGGUUAUGUUUGUUUCUGUGAUUGAAUUCCCCGCGUGGAUACGAGGUCUUCAUCAGCUGUAAGCAGCGUCUCCGCUGUCGGCAGCACCCGCAGACAGUCACAACAGCAGUAACGUCAGGCAGCAGUGUCCACUCCGACAGGCCAAACCCGUCUGUGUGUACAGCUGCGUACUGUCCCAUCUAACACCCGGCUCCUCAUUACUGUGAAAUAUCACCUCACUGGUUCCAAAACAUCUCGCCAAAGGACUGCAGCCAGCUGGCAAACUCUGGCACAUUUACAGAAAUGUUUGUUACUGUACGUUGGCCUUAUAAAUAAAUACCUGACAUGAAAUUAUUAUUGAAAUAAACAUGAAUUAAAUCAACCUUUUCUAUUCUAAUUAGAGAGUAUUUAGCUUAAUGUCAGUAAGGAAGUGAGACUAAAAAGCAUCAGUUAAUAAAAACGUGGAUCUUUCCCCGUGCUUUACCGGGACAUCCAGCAGGUGUAGUACGUUGGUAUUUGAAAAAGGUUCCACUUGGUUUUUAUCCGUUCAUUAACAGUCUGUUUCUAAUAAUAAUAAUAAUACUUCCUGCAAAAUGAUGCGACUCGCAGCCGGUCGGAGCUUUUCUGUCAUUUUAUUUUAGAGUUUAGACUUUUUGAAUCAAAGAGGGCACUGAAGCUCCUGUGAAGCUCCUGAGAGAGAAACAAACCCUUCAGCGCCGCUCUGUGACUCUGUGGUUUAUCAGCGAAGUGUGUGGACAGACUGAACACACUGAAUCAGUAGAUCUGUGUUGUAGAUCUACUACGUUCCUCUCCCGUAUCAAACUGCUGCAUUAUCAUAAACUGCUGUAGAUGAGCUCUCUCCCUCUUCAUCUCCUUUCACUUUUCACGCUUCAGUGUCGUUGACUAUGUCGUUGCUGCUUUAACAAACAUGUUGGUGUUUGAGUUGUGAGAUUUAAGUGAUGUAAGAUUGGUGUAAAAUGUUGUUGAUAACUCUCAGAUAUAAAUGACACCAUGAAUGUCGCGCGGCAUUUAGAAGGACGUGAUGAUACAGA